Molecule: long non-coding RNA, 3454 nt
Organism: Triticum aestivum (bread wheat)
Lineage: Eukaryota; Viridiplantae; Streptophyta; Magnoliopsida; Poales; Poaceae
Exons: 3
Source: RefSeq, a predicted model, not a curated record
CGCGUCACCACUCACCACCACCACCCGUCCCUCCCACGCGUCGCCCCUGCCUCCCGCACGCCGCGGCGCCAUCCUCCAACCCCAACACGCCGCUGCACCACCCCUCCCACCCUAGCGCGCCACCGCGCUGCCACCCCCAUCUGAAGGCGCCACCGCGUCCACAUCUCCGAAACUCGCGCACUUUUACCGCCGGGCCACGAACUGGGCACCUCCCUCUUCACUGUGCCGGCGUCGCCUUCGCCAAUGCACGCCGGCAGCCUGCCUUCCCCGCACCGGCGGCCUCCCUCCCAACGCGUGCCGACAGCCUUCCUUCCCCGCGCCGGCGGCCUCCCUCCCAUCGCAUGCCAACGGCCACCCUUCCCAGCACCGGCGGCGUCCCUCCCAAAGCACGCCGGCACCUCCGUUCCCCGUGCCGACGGGGGGCAGCUUCCCUCCGAACGCGUGGCGCAUUUUCCUCCAAUGGAUGUGCACAACUCGUGGAGCUACCUCCUGGUCAGCUGGUUCCCGUCGGCCUCCUCGCACCGGACAAAUCCUCCAGCGGGACCUCGGAAGGCCUGACGCACUCCCUCGAACUAUCGCGCGUCCUCCCUCGAACGGCCGGACUCGUUUACCUCCUCCAAUAUGCGCAGGUUGCUGCUCUCGUCUGCUUCCUCUUUCUUUUUUGAAAUGAGUCUGCUUUCUCUCUCACGAGCAUGAUGCUACUGCUCCUCUCAACUCUCAAUUCUCAUUAUUUACUGUUUCUCCCCUAUAUGAACUACUGAUGCUACUUCAUCUCUACUUGUUGUGAAAUAAGAUUUUGAUUUCAGAGAAGUCGCAAAUCACAAAGGAAAGAAGAGCCAUGUUUUCUAUUGUUGUUAUUUUGUUGCCCUCGUGGUGUUUACUGAAAUGCCUACAACAACUUAAGGUGUUCUCUUUUUUUAAAAUGAAGUGAAUGUGUUGUACUACUGUUAAGCGCGGUCCUCCUCCCGAGCUCCUCCAUGUGCAUCCGCCUCCCAAGCUGUGCCAUGAGCGGUUGCGCCUACUCCGUCGUCCAGGCGACCAUCAUGCGUGCCUCCUGACCCCUGCUGUCAGGUUGCGGCCUCUUUCGCUGUCAGGUCACAUCCUCUCCUGCCGUCAGAUCGCAACCUCUUCCUUUUGCACGUCGCCACCUCCUGCUGCUGCAGGCCGUGCCCCAUCCCCCAUUCUCGCGUGGUCGCCAACAAGGAGGUGACCGAUUGUUGAUCCUGAAGUUUCAUCACAUGAUUUUUUGUCUCUGAAUUUUGCACCAAUUCUUGAUCCUGAAGCAUCAAUGCUUGAGCACUGAUUUUUGUGUGUUAGUUCAAAUUUUGCGUCAAGCAGUUCGACAAGGGUGCGUCCCUCAGUACUACGAUGACGAGGCAGACAGCCGCCCUCUUUGUGACCUGCUGCUAUUCCCCAUCUUGCACUGGCGAACUAAUGAUGCGGGAGCUGCCCUGUUUGCUACAACCCCACGUGGAUCUCUCUCUUUCUCCUCUCUUAAAUUCAUUGGAAAAGUUGGUUUCUUGUUCUUGUUGUGUCGUGAAUACCCUCAAGUUGUUUGAUAUUAUUCCUAUGAGAAAACUGAUCCAUAGCAGAUUUUGUUCCAGAGCUGUUCAAAGUUCAGACUUACGUUUUGUGAAGGCAAGGACAAGGAGAAGCCUAUGGAUAACAGUUCGUGUGGAGCUUGGCCAGUUCCUCUGUUCAUGUGUGAGCUUGCUCAGUUUGUCCAUUUAUCUCUGUUCAGUUCAUGUAGAGGAUCCCUCGAAUUCACCUCCUCUCGUUCUUUAUCACAAAUGAUUUUCGCUAUCCGCAGCAAAUUACAGUAUGAGAGUGGGAGUUUUAUAUUGUACUCUCUGCCUGCACAAUGCAUUUUGUAGUGUUGGUAGUUGUAGAGAUUUGUUUGUGUUAAAAAUGGUUUUAUGUAUUUUGUAGUGUCGGUACUUAAGUAGAACAUUAGUUCAAAUCUUCAAAUUUUAUAUAGUUCAAGUACAUAAGGAACAUAAGGAACUUUAGUUAGUUUCUUGAAUUUCGACUCCUUUAGUUUUUGUUCUUAACCAGUUUUUGUUCAAUUAUAUAAGGACUGACGCCAUUAGUUUCAAAAAGGAGCUUCUGUAGAUGUGGAGAUUGGUAAAAUCUAAAGUUCAACUAUUCUGAUGGGGCACUUCAUAAAGCAAAGAAAAAAGAAAGCAGAGCAAAAGUGAAGAAAAAUAAAAAGAAAAUCAAAGUGGUCCUGAGAAGAAAAUGCCUACUGUCUAGUAAUACAUUCUCUCAUUUGUCUAUGUUUAUUUGUUGUGAGAAUAAAAAACAGUGGUACCAUACAUAUUACUUGAGCUGUUCAUAUAAAAAAAUGCGUCGGUUUGUGUAACAUCAGUUCUAACUUCUAUAGCUUGAUAAAUGAUUAGAAGUCAAUCUGAAUUCAUUUUGAUCCAUUCUCUUGUGAUUUUUGGCUGAACUCCAAUACUUGCAUCCGCCACCCCAACGCCGGCGUGUUCCCUCAGUCCUCUCUCGACAAAUCCAACAGUACAGGUUCUCCGGUGUGCCAAGUAUUACCUGCGGCGAUCCCUACAUCAUGGCCCAUUGAGGAGAUCUUGUGUAUUCCACAUAGAAGAAAUAUUGUCAGUUCAUGAAUAGAGAAUUUCUGUACCAGACUUAAUAUUAGUUCAGUGCGUAUUCUAUCUUCAGUCCACGAAAAAUCACAGAAUAGUUGGUGUGUGUGCACAAAUAUUGUCAGUGCAAGUUUCAAAAUUCUGUAACUUUAGAUAUAUCACCUGAAAAAGUAAUGAUUUGCAGCGAGUUUCUUCAAAAUUAUGUAAAGUUUAGUAUUAUAGUGUGUGUUUUGAACUAAGAUCUAUACUCUAUGAACUUUUUGUACUUUCUGGACUUGAAGCAUUUUUUUCUCAUAUAUUAAAUCAAGUGCAUAUAUGAAAUCUUGAACGAAAUGCUCUAUGGACUCUUGGACUGUAUUGUUGGAGAACUGUUGUUCGGUACCUAAUGUAAUUUGCACAUAAAGCAUUUUGUUCUCAGUUUUUGGGUGAAAAGUUUGCUUCCUAUAUUGCAUAGCUGCUGCAGUGACCAUAGGAAUUUAUUAGAAUAAUUUAAUGUUUUUGUAUCUCACCUCUAAUUUGUUUCUUUCUACUGCUCUUUCCUCUAACAAUUUUGUUUCUGUCUAUACUACAGCACGAGGGAGUCUUGGACGGACGCUGAUCACUAGCCCACUACGACGACGCUGAUCACUAGCACGAAGGACACUAGCAGGUUGAGGAUGAAGUACAUGACGUAGGCAAUGAGGAUGACCAAAACAUGGAAUCCGUACACAAAGCAGCAACUGCAAGUUUAAAUUUUCUGUCUAUGGUGAUUUGAUUGCUACUUCUUAAAGAAAAGUGUAAUGACAGUUAGAUGUUUGUGCAAGAAAGGAAAAAUUGUUUGAACUAAAAACAUUCGAUAGUGCUCUCUCUCC